AUUAAAGUAGUUUAUAAAAAAUAUUGAUUUGUGGUGUCAAUGAAGCGUUGUUGCCUUUAGUA
Molecule: transfer RNA, 62 nt
Filed under: Aegus fukiensis
Lineage: Eukaryota; Metazoa; Arthropoda; Insecta; Coleoptera; Lucanidae
Also listed under: 1 other name
Description: tRNA-His
Source: RNAcentral